This 537-nucleotide ribosomal RNA is filed under the name uncultured bacterium. RNAcentral describes it as "bacterial SSU rRNA". It matches the Rfam family "Bacterial small subunit ribosomal RNA", at positions 368 to 917 of the family's 1533-position model. The record is from RNAcentral.
UCGGCGGCUGAGCGAGCUGACGCGAGCACGCCGCGUGAGGGAUGAAGGCCUCUGGGCUGUAAACCUCUUUUAUCAAGGAAGAAGAUCUGACGGUACUUGAUGAAUAACCCACGGCUAAUUCCGUGCCAGCAGCCGCGGUAAUACGGGAGUGGCAAGCGUUAUCCGGAAUUAUUGGGCGUAAAGCGUCCGCAGGCGGCCCUUCAAGUCUGCUGUUAAAAAGUGGAGCUUAACUCCAUCAUGGCAGUGGAAACUGUUGGGCUUGAGUGUGGUAGGGGCAGAGGGAAUUCCCGGUGUAGCGGUGAAAUGCGUAGAUAUCGGGAAGAACACCAGUGGCGAAGGCGCUCUGCUGGGCCAUCACUGACGCUCAUGGACAAAAGCCAGGGGAGCGAAAGGGAUUAUAUACCCCUGUAGUCCUGGCCGUAAACGAUGAACACUAGGUGUCGGGGGAAUCGACCCCCUCGGUGUCGUAGCCAACGCGUUAAGUGUUCCGCCUGGGGAGUACGCACGCAAGUGUGAAACUCAAAUGAAUUUGACGGA